Molecule: unclassified non-coding RNA, 243 nt
Filed under: Hevea brasiliensis (rubber tree)
Lineage: Eukaryota; Viridiplantae; Streptophyta; Magnoliopsida; Malpighiales; Euphorbiaceae
Source: RNAcentral
GUCGAAAUCUUCAACCAAGCAAACCUGUAAUCCGCGUUUGAGACUUUCUGCGAAAUUUCAGAUCUCGUGUGAGCGAGUACCGAUUUAGUAAAUAAUCAAGAUGAGCAGACCCCAGGAACCACACCGCCCUUUCUUCUCAUUCGGGAAUCCUUUCCGCAUGAUAUCACCAAAGGGCUCUCAAUUGUCCCCAAGGCUUCUUUCCUUAUUGAAUGCCUUUGAGGAAACCUUGGCAGAGAGGUUGAG